AUACAUUUCUUUCAUCUCUAAGUGAAUCAAAUGACUUUGUAUCUCGGGUGGAGUUUUCCUCUCUUUACUUAGUGGAAUGAGGAAUUGAAAUGCAGAUGAAGUUGAGUUCAAGAAAAAUCACGUUUCUUAUGCAGCUGAUGGAAAGAUUCAUACAUUCUUGUGAUGCUGGUCAGUGGGGAGGUAGGCGUUGCGGGAGGCUGUGUGGUUCUGCAGUACUGCUCCUAAGCAAACUCCACGUUGCUGCCCUGGGGAGGACAAAAGGCUGAUUCGCUGAAAGAAUCAUUAACAGAGAUGGCGGAAGGAGGUUACAUGUUAUUCAAGAUGGGAUUGUGAAGUGAAGGAGGAAAAAACAUACCCCAGAGAUCCUGGACUGAGAGCUGGAUACAGUAAGGAUUGCGACAUAACUUUGAAGUCGAACACAUUUGGGAGCACAUCUGCGUUUGUACAGCAAGAGGCAAUAGGGAAGUGUUAAAACCAAGAUAAAAUAGAAUGAAAAAAUAAGCCCACAAAUAUGUGCAUACUAAAUAAGAAGCUGGUAACUUCAUUCACAGUCAGUUGGUUAGGACAUAGACAUGUUUUCAAAAUUUAACAUUCUAUUUUGUGGUUUCAAUAGUGAUGGUUGUCAUUUAAAUAGGCAUAAUGAUGGCAAUGAAGAUAUCCUUGGAAGGGAAGAUAACUUUUAAUCAAUAAAAUUGUUUCUGUGUUACUUCGUUAAUAUUUAUAUUUACAUACUCCACAUCGUGAUGGAUAUUUCACAUGCAUAAAUACGAUUUGACAUAUUGUACAUAAAGAUGAAAGUUUAGGGAAUUAGAAUUUUCUUUAAAAAGCCCAAUAUAACAGAACUAUUAUUAUUCACUUUAACAACCUUUCUUAUGAUCAUGUCAAGCUAUCAAAUAUUCAAGUGGUAAGGAUAAAAGACCAUAUUUGGUAUAAAAGACCUCUUUCUAACAUUCUAUUACUGCUGUUUGCCUUGCUGAGGUUCAAAUUGUGUUUGAGAAUAAAACUAUGAAGAUAACUUAAAUCACUAUCUUAUUUACUGUUCAAAGACACUUUUAAAAAUCAUUAGAGGACUGCAAAGACCAGAAAUGCUUUAGACUCGUCAUCAUUUAGCACACAUUCAGUGUACACAAGGCACUAUCUACUGAGUUAACCAUCUACUGAGUAAGUCAGGCAGGAUGAAAAUGACUCACUGCAACACUGUUAGGAUAAAUCUGGACCCCAUGUUAGUGUAAGCAUGAGCCAGGCUAACAACUUUCUCUACAUCCACCCAACAAACUAAAAGAAACCAGACAUCAAGGAAGUGCCCCCUCUCAGCCAAAAGUCUGUGAAACAUUCACUCAGAUUUAGCUUUAAUUCCUGACGUAUAUCUGGUUGAAGAAAUUUAGCAAUGUGUAUGAUCCUUUCUAAGGCAGGCACUUGUCAUAUGUAUUUUUAUUUUCUUUGAUAGGAUCUGCACUGACUUGAACUGAGAACUACCAACUGGUGUAUUCUUCAGCCCCAUGAACCAAGACAGCCCUUGAUAUUUAUUAAUCUUUUACUGAUGCAUGAUUAAAGGAAUGCUUUUCUCCUCUCCAAGUUUCAGCGAUCGUCUCCAGGCCAACUGGUGUGGCUCCACUUCAGGAUGCAGGUCUGGGAAUCCACAUCUGUUCCAUGUGUCUCUUAUCCUCCUUGGGCCAGUGGACCAGCUAGUGAUCCUCUUCUUGCAGCAAAAGCAGGAGCACAAGAGUGCAAGCCCCAUUCCUCAAUGACAUUUCAAGUCCUUGCUUGUGACACUUCUGCUCAUGUCCUAUUGACCAAAGGAAGGCAUUUUGCUGAGUCCGACAUCCAUAAAGUGGAGAAAUGCUCCACCCCUGUGAGACCAUGGCAUAGCCAUGAAGGCAUAUAACUACUACAGGGGAGGGAAGAAUUGUCACCAGUAAUUUCAUCUACCACAACACAUUUAUUGGUUAUGAAUUGCUGUGAAUUUCUGGUUCAUAGUCUUUGCUCAUGUUGUCUUGAGUUGCUUGUAUUUUGCUUAUUGUUUUGUAGAUAUUCUUUACAUAAUGUGGAUUCUGAUUUUUAUCUAUUAUAAGAUUAUGAAAAAUCUUAUUUUAGUACAUGGCUUAUCUUUUCACUUUGUUUAUGAUAUUUGUCUUGUAAAGUUUAAAAUUUGACUGCAGUCUAAAUAGUUAUCAGUUUUUUCUUUUACAGUUUGCACUCAUUGUGUUGUUUUAGAAAAUUAUCUGCAUCCUGAGGUCAUUAAUAUACCCUCCAAUGUUAUCUUCUAAGAGUAGUAAAGUUUCAUUUUUCCAUGUAGGUUCAUGAUUUGCUCAGAACUUUUAAGUUUUUUCUAUUUUUUUCUGUAAAUUCUCUUAUAUAUUCUACAUAAAUAAUCAUAUCAUUUAUGAGUAAUAAAAUUUGGUCUUUUUGUUUCCAAUUCUUAAAUCUUUUUUUCUUUUUCUUAUGACACUAAUCCAGAAAAAUGUGGACCAGGAGUUGCACAGCAAGUAUCCCACCCACUCCUUGAUUUUAAUGGAAAUAUUUCCAAUGUUUUACUACUGCAGGAGAUUGAUCACAAAGAAAGUAAUCAGAAAAUAAAUGAUAAGCUAAAAUUCCAUAUACCACUAAAAUAUUAUUAUAGAACAUAGGCAAAAU
This 2634-nucleotide long non-coding RNA is filed under the name Equus caballus (horse). RNAcentral's name for it is "lncRNA (ENSECAG00000050590.1)". Lineage: Eukaryota; Metazoa; Chordata; Mammalia; Perissodactyla; Equidae. The record is from RNAcentral.